Molecule: transfer RNA, 58 nt
Filed under: Heterodera glycines (soybean cyst nematode)
Lineage: Eukaryota; Metazoa; Nematoda; Chromadorea; Rhabditida; Heteroderidae
Description: tRNA-Gly
Source: RNAcentral
UUUCUUUUAUUUUAAAUUUUAGAAUUUCUUUUUUCCAAAAAGAAGGUAUUUAAGAAUU